This 492-nucleotide ribosomal RNA is filed under the name uncultured bacterium. Its description in RNAcentral is "partial 16S ribosomal RNA". It matches the Rfam family "Bacterial small subunit ribosomal RNA", at positions 28 to 507 of the family's 1533-position model. The record is from RNAcentral.
GAUGAACGCUCGCUACAGGCUUAACACAUGCAAGUCGAGGGGAAACGACAUCGAAAGCUUGCUUUUGAUGGGCGUCGACCGGCGCACGGGUGAGUAACGCGUAUCCAACCUGCCCAUCACUUGGGAAUAACCUUGCGAAAGUAAGACUAAUACCCAAUGAUAUCCCACGAAGGCAUCGGAAUGGGAUUAAAGAUUUAUCGGUGACGGAUGGGGAUGCGUCUGAUUAGCUUGUUGGCGGGGUAACGGCCCACCAAGGCAACGAUCAGUAGGGGUUCUGAGAGGAAGGUCCCCCACAUUGGAACUGAGACACGGUCCAAACUCCUACGGGAGGCAGCAGUGAGGAAUAUUGGUCAAUGGGCGAGAGCCUGAACCAGCCAAGUAGCGUGCAGGAAGACGGCCCUAUGGGUUGUAAACUGCUUUUAUAAGGGAAUAAAGUGGGUCACGUGUGACUUUUUGCAUGUACCUUAUGAAUAAGGACCGGCUAAUUCCGUG